RNAcentral lists this ribosomal RNA (253 nucleotides) under uncultured bacterium. RNAcentral describes it as "partial 16S ribosomal RNA". It matches the Rfam family "Bacterial small subunit ribosomal RNA", at positions 524 to 776 of the family's 1533-position model. The record is from RNAcentral.
UACGUAGGGGGCAAGCGUUGUCCGGAUUUAUUGGGCGUAAAGCGCGUGUAGGCGGCUUUGCAAGUCGGGUGUGAAAGCCCUCAGCUUAACUGAGGAAGUGCGCCCGAAACUGCUUGGCUUGAGUACCGGAGAGGAUGGUGGAAUUCCCGAAGUAGAGGUGAAAUUCGUAGAUAUCGGGAGGAACACCGGUGGCGAAGGCGACCAUCUGGACGGAUACUGACGCUGAGACGCGAAAGCGUGGGUAGCAAACAGG